AUGGAGUCGCUUGCCUCGCAAGCGAAGCCGGCUGCCGUGCUCUGGCUCGCCGGCUUCCUCCAGGCCGCGCGUCUCCACCGCGUCGUCUCCUUCUGCGUCAGCUCCAGGGCUCUGUCGAUCAGAAUCGCUCAGUGCUUCCUGCUCAACGGGUUCAUCUUCCUGGGGAGCUUGCUAACCUUGAAAUCGGUGGUCAUUCCAACUCUUCUAUGGAUACUGCCCGAGCAAUGCGAUCAAUCAUGGGGACAACAUCUAUGUGAUCACACAACAGCUGUUGCCUUGUAUUCGUUCUUACGUUCGGGGCUUGUCGAGAUUUUCUAUGUAUUUUGGUUUUAUCCCCUCUACAUCUUCAGCUUUAUAAUAAGUACACUUUGGUAUGGUGACAUUGCUAAGCAUGCUUUGGCUGUUGUGAAAAGUAAGAAGCUGGAUGCAAGUCAAGCAUCUGACUCUGACCCUCACAGCACAUCUGUAUCAGCAGAUAGGCCUGAAGGAUUUGAUGGGGUUGCGAUUGGUGUUGGAGAGCAGGUCUAUUCGAUACUUCUUUUGACUAUUUUCUUUGCUGAGGUUACAGUGAUUGGUUGCAUACCUUACCUUGGUAAGGCAAUGAACUUCAUGUUACUGUCUUUGAUGUAUGCCUACUACUGCUUCGAGUACAAGUGGAACUUCUUUGCAGUGAGCCUGAACCACCGGCUUGAUUUCUUUGAGUCAAAUUGGGCUUUCUUUGCCGGAUUUGGUAGUCCAUGUGUACUUCCGAUUUUCUUCUUCUCUCCUCUUACAAGUUAUGGUGUGAUGGCAAUACUAUACCCACUGUUUGUCAUGACAGCUGCUGGUACACAAGAAGAGCAAACCAUUGAUGAACUGAAAUCUUUGCAUGGAGGGAAACUGAAUAGAAUACCCUUGUUCUUUGUCGCGAAGCGACUAACGACGCAAGCGCUGCAGUUGUUCCCAGAGGCACAAAAGGAGCAAUGA
This 966-nucleotide ribosomal RNA is filed under the name Triticum aestivum (bread wheat). Its description in RNAcentral is "partial small subunit ribosomal RNA". Lineage: Eukaryota; Viridiplantae; Streptophyta; Magnoliopsida; Poales; Poaceae. The record is from RNAcentral.